RNAcentral lists this ribosomal RNA (468 nucleotides) under uncultured bacterium. Its description in RNAcentral is "partial 16S ribosomal RNA". It matches the Rfam family "Bacterial small subunit ribosomal RNA", at positions 28 to 507 of the family's 1533-position model. The record is from RNAcentral.
GACGAACGCUGGCGGCGUGCUUAACACAUGCAAGUCGAACGGACAGGCCAUGAUUUUGUGGCGUGCUCGUGAGGCGAACAGGUGAGUAACACGCGAGUAAACUGCCCUUGACUUUGGGAUAAAAUUAGGAAACUGGGGCUCAUACAGGAUAGGAGAUCCUGAUGCAUGGUGGGGAUUGGUAAGAUUUGGCGGUUGGGGCUGGUCUCGCGGCUUCUCAGCUUGUUGGUGGGGUUGUGGCUUACCAAGGGUUUGACGGGUAGCCGGCCUGGGAGGGUUACCGGCCACAAUGGGACUGAGAUACGGCCCAGACGCCUACGGGAGGCAGCAGGGGGGAAUAUUGCGGAAUGGGCGGAAGCCUGAGGCAGCAACGCCGCGUGCGGGAUAACGGCCUUCGGGUUGUAAACCGCUUUCGCCUGUGACGAAGCGUGAGUGACGGUAAUGGGUAAGGAAGCACCGGCUAACUACGUG